GUAGGGAAUAUUGGGCAAUGGUCGGAAGACUGACCCAGCCAUGCCGCGUGCAGGAAGACGGCCCUCUGGGUUGUAAACUGCUUUUAUCUGGGAAGAAAACGGCCAUGCGUGGCAAAUUGCCGGUACCAGAUGAAUAAGCACCGGCUAACUCCGUGCCAGCAGCCGCGGUAAUACGGAGGGUGCGAGCGUUGUCCGGAUUUAUUGGGUUUAAAGGGUGCGUAGGCGGCUGAUUAAGUCAGCGGUGAAAGACUUCGGCUUAACCGGAGCAGUGCCGUUGAUACUGGUUGGCUUGAGUGUCGGAGGGGUACAUGGAAGGGGUGGUGUGACAUUGAAAUGCAUAGAUAACAUCAGGAACACCGGUAGCGAGGGCAUUGUACUGGCCGACGACUGACGCUGAUGCACGAAAGUGUGGGGAUCGAACAGGAUUAGAUACCCCGGUAGUCC
This 444-nucleotide ribosomal RNA is filed under the name uncultured bacterium. Its description in RNAcentral is "partial 16S ribosomal RNA". It matches the Rfam family "Bacterial small subunit ribosomal RNA", at positions 354 to 796 of the family's 1533-position model. The record is from RNAcentral.